RNAcentral lists this microRNA (18 nucleotides) under Xenopus laevis (African clawed frog). RNAcentral's name for it is "xla-miR-5208". Lineage: Eukaryota; Metazoa; Chordata; Amphibia; Anura; Pipidae. The record is from RNAcentral.
UUUACACUAAAACUUGAA